CGGGCUAUGCUGAGGCCAGGUGCCAGGGGGCACUGGGGGUGCUCAGGCCAAGAGGUCUGUCUGAGUCCAGGCUUUGGGCCAGACCAGAUGUGGACCGCCCCUUGCGAGAGCUCCAGAGCAGCCACCUGUCAGCUGAAUGAAGAGUGUCCGUGCCACAGGGACAGAAGAAUCACCCAGCUAAGCCCCAAACAUCCCGGAAGCACAAAUGACAAAACCUGAUGAAACAGUUGGCCUUUGAGCUCCCUAAGCUUAGAGAUUUCAUUACUGAAAUGCUGGGGAGGCCCCUGCACUGCUGUCCUCUCUGGUCGUCCGCACCAAGACACUAUUUCCCCAACACCUGCUGGGCGGCUUUAAUUUCUCUUAAAUGCUAGUUUUGCUUUAUUCGCUUCCGGAGGUGAUGACAAACAGCGGCAGGGUGUCUGGACUGCGUGAGCGUGGCCCCUGUCCGAGCCCCCGGGGGCCUGUGCAGGCACCGCUGGCGCACCGGCCACUGCAGGAGCUGGCCGCCUGGUAAAUUCAAUCACACCCAGUGAUUUCUCGUCUACCCCCAGUGUCCUCUGUCCCCCUUCUUAAAGCUGUGUCUGCACCCAGUCCUGUGAGAGUGACACCGGCAGUCUGUGGUCGCCGUCUCAGUCCUUCUCCCUGACCACCUUCAGGUCCCCAGCGGACACUGCCUGCCUAGGUGUCCCAUCUCUGCGGGAGACCUCUCCCUGGUCCUGACCUCUCCCAGCUGCGUGGGCGUCCCUCUGAGGGCAGGGAAACCUCCAGACGGACCGCCAAGGCCCCUCCAGCUGCACUCCAUUCUUGGCCGUGCGGGAAGGGGUCCCCGCUGCUUGUGUCUGGCGGGCACAGCCCCUUCUCAGGGUCUCAGAUGGAGAGAGGAUUGACCAUUGGUCCAUGGCAGCCAGUCUACUGAGGACGGAAAUGGGGAGGGGGCACAGUGGCCUUGACUCCGUGCAGGUGUCAUGCACUAACUAGACAGGUGUCUUCCAAAUCCCGUGCUCCUCACCAUGUGUUCCAGACUCAGGGGUCUGUUGUGCUCAACUAAUUUGAAAAUCAGCAACAAAACUCUUUCAUGGAAAAAGCGUGGUCCUCAAAGACCAAGAAGGACUUGUCUUUCAAGACAGUUGACUCUGCUUUGCAUUGAAAGACAAAGCAAAUAGGCACAAAACAACGCCAACUACGAAAACACCUUCCUUUAGAAACCCAUUGACUUCUUGUCCCCCCUCUACCCUGGUGCCUCCUCUCCCCAGGGCACAGGCAAGGGCGUGUGUGCACGUGUGUGCACCUGUGUGUGUUGGGGAGACAGCUCUGA
This is a long non-coding RNA of Hyaena hyaena (striped hyena), 1315 nucleotides long. RefSeq lists it as uncharacterized. NCBI's taxonomy places the organism in Eukaryota, Metazoa, Chordata, Mammalia, Carnivora, Hyaenidae. The transcript has 3 exons. The record is from RefSeq and is a predicted model, not a curated record.